RNAcentral lists this ribosomal RNA (427 nucleotides) under uncultured bacterium. RNAcentral's name for it is "bacterial SSU rRNA". It matches the Rfam family "Bacterial small subunit ribosomal RNA", at positions 355 to 774 of the family's 1533-position model. The record is from RNAcentral.
UGGGGAAUUUUGGACAAUGGACGCAAGUCUGGUCCAGCCAUGCCGCGUGCGGGAAGAAGGCCUUCGGGUUGUAAACCGCUUUUGUCAGGGAAGAAACGAGUUUCUCUAAUACAGAGACUUAAUGACGGUACCUGAAGAAUAAGCACCGGCUAACUACGUGCCAGCAGCCGCGGUAAUACGUAGGGUGCAAGCGUUAAUCGGAAUUACUGGGCGUAAAGCGUGCGCAGGCGGUUAUGUAAGACAGAUGUGAAAUCCCCGGGCUCAACCUGGGACCUGCAUUUGUGACUGCAUAGCUAGAGUACGGCAGAGGGGGAGGGAAUUCCGCGUGUAGCAGUGAAAUGCGUAGAUAUGCGGAGGAACACCGAUGGCGAAGGCAAUCCCCUGGGCCUGUACUGACGCUCAUGCACGAAAGCGUGGGGAGCAAACA